This 484-nucleotide ribosomal RNA is filed under the name uncultured bacterium. RNAcentral's name for it is "partial 16S ribosomal RNA". It matches the Rfam family "Bacterial small subunit ribosomal RNA", at positions 30 to 507 of the family's 1533-position model. The record is from RNAcentral.
AUUGAACGCUGGCGGCAGGCCUAACACAUGCAAGUCGAGCGGAUGAAGGGAGCUUGCUCCUGGAUUCAGCGGCGGACGGGUGAGUAAUGCCUAGGAAUCUGCCUGGUAGUGGGGGAUAACGUCCGGAAACGGGCGCUAAUACCGCAUACGUCCUGAGGGAGAAAGUGGGGGAUCUUCGGACCUCACGCUAUCAGAUGAGCCUAGGUCGGAUUAGCUAGUUGGUGGGGUAAAGGCCUACCAAGGCGACGAUCCGUAACUGGUCUGAGAGGAUGAUCAGUCACACUGGAACUGAGUCACAGUCCAGACUCCUACGGGAGGCAGCAGUGGGGAAUAUUGGACAAUGGGCGAAAGCCUGAUCCAGCCAUGCCGCGUGUGUGAAGAAGGUCUUCGGAUUGUAAAGCACUUUAAGUUGGGAGGAAGGGCAGUAAGUUAAUACCUUGCUGUUUUGACGUUACCAACAGAAUAAGCACCGGCUAACUUCGUG